UCUGGAAAGAAAAAGAAGCCACCAAACCACCUUUCCUGGUGCUGAGGAAAAAAAAAAGGAAAAAGGAAAAAAAAAGAUUGUUUGGCGCCAAAAUCCAUUUAUGGUUGUAUCCUUUGUCUAUUUUUAAUAUACUGCCCUAAU
This 141-nucleotide long non-coding RNA is filed under the name Notechis scutatus (mainland tiger snake). Its description in RNAcentral is "lncRNA (ENSNSUG00000003751.1)". Lineage: Eukaryota; Metazoa; Chordata; Lepidosauria; Squamata; Elapidae. The record is from RNAcentral.